AUGCAGCAGCCCAGGACAAAGCCUGACUGCAAAACACUGCAUGGAGUUUACAGCGUGUAUUACUGUAGCCAGCUCUUGUCCUGGUCAACAGGAUGCUUCUGCCCACACUAGAUCCAAGACAUAGUGCAGUCCCUGUGGCUUUAAAUUUCAUGUUCCAUGCUGAGCCUGACAGUAAAGGGUAAUUAAUUAGCACAGGGCUGGUUACACUUUAAUUAAGCAUUAGCUUCAGCUGUGCUUGGGGGAUUGCUUGUUGUACCGGCUGUACUGUGAGUUGGGCUGAGACCACCAGCUCUGGGAUGCAUAAACAGCUCACAGGCACGAGCUGGUCAUGGGAACCACUUAGCUGAGAUGCUGAAUGGCCACAGCAUUGAGUGGUACUCAAGAGAUAAACAUUUCAUUAUGUGCAAGAGAUGCAGUAAAGGACAUGAGCAAGAUCAAGACACAAUCAGGUAUCUUCUCCCUGCUGCUGACUUCUGCUUAAGAGAGGAAACCAGUGAAAGGCCUCUCUCUAGGAGCAUGUGAGACCUGAGUGCCAAUAAAACCUGCUAAAAGCCCCAAGAGAAUGUUUAAGGUUGCAUUCUGGAUUUUAGCAUCCAUCUUCUGGUUUACUGAGAAGGUAAAAGAUGUGCAGGAAGCAUAUGGCUGAUGUACUGCUCUGCAAGAUGCUGUGACUAGAAGCGCUGAAACACGAGACGCUGACUCAAAGGUGAAUUUAUACAUACCCCAUUAUAUUUGUUUGGGUUGGUUCCAAGUGGUGGUGGAAUGAAUUUGAAAAGCUGCUUUUUCUCUCUGCAGGAAAGCACAAAAACAUCCAAACCCCAUCUUCAACUUCUUGCCUUCCUUUGGCGUUGGCAAGUACUCAAUUUUUCCAGUUAGAAAUAGAAAACUUCCUGGUGCUGUAAUUUGUGCAGCACAGAACUCUUGCUAUGCAGGGAAAUAUUCAGCUUCCUCUCUGAACUUGCCCAUGGGUUUCAUGACAAGAGGAGCAGUUUGAAUGUGCUGGUGCUCCCAUCCUGCUGGACACCCCACCGGAUAGCUAUGGGAAGCUUGCAAGCAUAAAUCUAACUCUCCCUAGCUGUUUGCCAGCAGUGUGCAGGUCUAGACUGCCUGAAUAAUUCAGAGAGGUUCUAAGUUACUCUCACUGCAAAUGGCCUUGAAAAGGAAAGCAAGUGGUUGGUUUGGUGGGGCCCCAGAAUGUCCCAGCUGUGUCCCUGAGCGUGUCUCCACUCCCUUCCUCUCUGCCAGCAGGGGAACACAAGGCUUCCUUUGCACGUUUCUGCUCAAUUUUGUGUUCUGUUAGCAAGGAGAGGUUUAUUUCAGUCUCUCAGAGGAGGUCACUGAUGCCCAGAGGAAGGACACUGUCCUUUGAGGCUGUACUGGACUUAUUGCAUUAACCCUGUGUCCCUCUGGAAAACUCGCUUGAAGAAAGCCAGCAGCAGGUCAGGUCCCUCGUCACAGUUGU
This is a long non-coding RNA of Neopsephotus bourkii (Bourke's parrot), 1462 nucleotides long. RefSeq lists it as uncharacterized. The transcript is spliced from 3 exons. The record is from RefSeq and is a predicted model, not a curated record. NCBI's taxonomy places the organism in Eukaryota, Metazoa, Chordata, Aves, Psittaciformes, Psittacidae.